This is a long non-coding RNA of Dicentrarchus labrax (European seabass), 1605 nucleotides long. RefSeq lists it as uncharacterized. NCBI's taxonomy places the organism in Eukaryota, Metazoa, Chordata, Actinopteri, Moronidae. The transcript is spliced from 5 exons. The record is from RefSeq and is a predicted model, not a curated record.
CUGCCCUUCCUACUGACUGACCUGAAAACAGUCUAAAAGAAGAAUUGUUGGCAGACAGACACUGACUGUCGAUGGGAUUUCUCUAUGAGUGAUGACUUUUAAUCAAGCACAGAGAGUCAACUUGACAUGGGACCAAAUGGACUACAAAUGUGGACACCACAAUUCUUCCAAGUGUGUUUGGGACUGCUCUGGUUGCUUGUUUAACCCUUCAGUACUUGACUGAAUUCAUUCUGAAUGUGGGCAGUACUCAAAGGUAAUAACAACUACUGUAGGAAUCAAAGUCAUGAAUACAAAACUGAGAGGGCAGGAAAAUUACAAAGUUCAUUCUGUUGGACAAAAAGCUGAAAGAUGAUGACCAUCACAGCUACAACCAGUACUCAGAUGAGGGACAGAACAAGAGGAGGCAAUAAGCCCGGUACACCACAGAACUGUACAGAACUAUGGGUUCUUCACAGAUUUGCAGCUUUGAUUCAUGGAGGGAUCACACACAGUUCGGAUCUCAUUUUAAGAAAUGGAGUCUUUUUAUUUUCUGUGGAAGCAACUAAAGAAGAUUCAUCAACACAUAUCGGACAUCCUUUUUACACAGCCAUGUCUUUACAAUCAGAGUGAAACAACAGUAAAGGAUAAUUUCAGGACAGGAACCAGGACCCAGCUGUUGCCGGUGCGGGAUUGGACCACACCACUGCCACCAGGGCCAACAGGACCAACGAGGAUGGCGGAGAACAUCUGGCAGAGCGUCAGCCUGGGCACCCAACGCAGACCUGGAGAAACCGGCUGGUUGAGGUUCUGCUGCGUAGUACAGCUAACGGCCUCUGUACCUUAGUGUUUGACGCUCUGAAGCCAUGGAUGGUUGAGGCCCUGCAACCUUGGAUGCCUGAGGCUCUGGGGCCCCGGGCAGCUGAGAUGAUUGUGGAUCAUGUGCUCUCAUUGGCUAAGGUUCAGGUGGACCUGAUGGCUGAGACUGUAGCCCGUUGGGCUGCUGAUAGAGUCUGACAUUGGGAGCCAUGACAACCACAUCAGGCAAGUACAUUUAAGUUCAUUAAAGGCUCAAAGGUUAUGAGGCAACAGGGUAGCCGGAGCACAACAGGCAGGAGAGGCAGGUAGCAGAAUAGCUAGCAGUACAAGCAGGCUCACAAACCCAAUGCUGAUUGGUCACAUGGCAAACAAACCAAUAGCAGGGAAGAGGCUAGCAGGCUGAGGUUCAGACUGGACACUUCUGAACUAAAACUGUACGAACACAAGUCAUAUAGAAUUGAAUUAAAUCAAUAAAUAAACAUCCUCAACAUUAUUUUGACCCUUAUGUAAAUAUACUGUGUAAUGUAAUCAAUGCAGUUUACAUAAACCAAUGGAAUGUGAAAUCAACAAUGUGUUUGAAAGCUGCAAAGCUUAAAAUGAUUAAAUAUUCUACAAAUACAUCUGUUUGUAAUAAGUCUGCUUUUCUCAGGUCAGUUAUAUUACAUAUACAGAGAACCCUACAUUAACUGUCUCUCUCCUUGUACACAGGUGGAGUACACCUGGAUGAAGACCCAUAAUGUCCAUUUAGAAUGCAAAAUGAAUUGUAAUUCAAGAUGAAUUAUAAUAGAAAUAAAUGCAUUUUGAAUUUUC